RNAcentral lists this long non-coding RNA (1298 nucleotides) under Anas platyrhynchos platyrhynchos (common mallard). RNAcentral describes it as "lncRNA (ENSAPLG00000022955.1)". The record is from RNAcentral. Lineage: Eukaryota; Metazoa; Chordata; Aves; Anseriformes; Anatidae.
AGCAUUUUGAUGACAUUUGACCAUUACAAAGAAUAACUCAUUUUGCAGCAAUUGUGGACAACUAGAUUCAACUGAAGCUGAAACUGUUCCACUGGGAAAUGUGCUAAAAGAAAGGAGGAGUCAGAGUUCUUUAUUUGUGCAAAUAAGGGAGGUGAAAACCUUAUAUUCCUUAGAAUCACCCCCUAGGACUUGUUCCUGCAGGAUAUUUUUCACAGAACCCAUAUAGGCUUACUAAGGUGCCCAGGCAAUUUUAAAAAAACACACCUGCUUGUUAUCAGCAUUUUCUCUUGGACCAAUAUAAGCAUCCUGGUAGUAAGAAUCUCUUUUGCAGGAUUAGAUUUAGGCUGCAGAAGGCUGUUCUGUGUUUCACCUUUGUUGCUGCUUCACAAGUGCAGUGGGACAGCUUUCCCUUCCAGACCUGGCUCUCUUAUAGCGUAUUCCCAGGGUGCCACUUGAGGCGUGUCACAGAAAAGUCUCAGCAACCUGCGAGGAAGGGAAAUGGUUGGUCAAUGGAAACGCAGCAUUUGGAAAGGUGUGUGUUUGCUACUAAUUAAAACUCAUCGCCUGGGCUCCAGCUGGUGGCAUUACAAAUGGGAGGAGGGCUCCUGCAGCACGGUAGCUAAGUUGUUGGGACAGGAGGAAGAACUAAUCCUUAGAGGCAGUACAUUUAGGAGUAGCAAGGGCAUUACCAAGUUGGACUCUUGCAGAAAGUGCCCCGAUCUCACUGGGAAGAGGAUGCAGAGACCACAUGUGGUGACAUAAAGAAGACUCCAAAGGACUGUGAUGCACUGAGGAGGAGGAAAAAUUAUGCAAUAUUUGCAAAUAUCGAAACCCAUAGGAAAUGUAUUAUUAACUUUCAAAAGAGGAGAUCUAACGACUGAUAUCGAGGGCUGAAAGGAGCAACACAAACAUUUGCAUACACUGCUGCCCUAUUGAACUAUUGUCCAUGUUCUGUAUAUAGACUUACUUCUAUCAGCUUGUACAUUCUAGCUGCUGUAUUUCAUGUAGCACAUAAAAUAGACUUUAACCAAGAAGAAGGCUCCAAGCACCUCUCCAUAGUGGAAACAACUACUGUUUCAGUGCUGUUAUGGCUGCAGCAGACAAAACCUGUGCAUGAAGAAAUGAUUGGCACAAACAAUAGCUGUCUCUUUAGCAACUGUCACUUCAAUUUGUUAGUAGCAAUUCACGCCGGUUUGGUGAUAGUGAUUUACAGUAACUUCCCCCUUCACAAUUGAAUACAUCUAUAAAAUGGUUCCAUGACAAAUAAAGCGUAAUGGUUAUUUUUUAUAGGAAGCUUG